This 460-nucleotide ribosomal RNA is filed under the name uncultured bacterium. Its description in RNAcentral is "partial 16S ribosomal RNA". It matches the Rfam family "Bacterial small subunit ribosomal RNA", at positions 338 to 795 of the family's 1533-position model. The record is from RNAcentral.
CCUACGGGAGGCAGCAGUGAGGAAUAUUGGUCAAUGGGCGUAAGCCUGAACCAGCCAAGUCGCGUGAGGGAUGAAGGUUCUAUGGAUCGUAAACCUCUUUUAUACGGGAAUAAAGUGUGGGACGUGUCCUGUUUUGUAUGUACCUUAUGAAUAAGGAUCGGCUAACUCCGUGCCAGCAGCCGCGGUACUACGGAGGAUCCGAGCGUUAUCCGGAUUUAUUGGGUUUAAAGGGUGCGUAGGCGGCCUUUUAAGUCAGCGGUGAAAGUCUGUGGCUCAACCAUAGAAUUGCCGUUGAAACUGGGAGGCUUGAGUAUGUUUGAGGCAGGCGGAAUGCGUGGUGUAGCGGUGAAAUGCUUAGAUAUCACGCAGAACCCCGAUUGCGAAGGCAGCCUGCCAAGCCAUGACUGACGCUGAUGCACGAAAGCGUGGGGAUCAAACAGGAUUAGAUACCCCAGUAGUC